UCCUGAGACGCACCAGUCUAAAACACUCAAACGAGGAGCAUUCAUAUCCGUUACAGGAACAAAGCAAAAAUGAACUUGAGCGGUUGAGCCUAGACCUACUACUGGUUUAAAAAAUUUAAAGUCUCAAAUCAUCAUACGGGGAAGAACAUUCCAAUGAUUGAUGGCCAUAACCAUCAGCCAUGCAUGUUACAAAAAAAAAGAGGGCGUCGAGAAUUUCCGUGCAGCUUUGAGAGCACGAUCAGAGCUUCGUGGAGACCAUGGUACAGGAUUUCUUAUCUGAAAGCAAAUGAGGCUGCUGGAUGUUACAUCCCCCAAAACUCCAGUUCACGCCUGGCGAAUUCUUUCAUCUGCUUCUGGCUACGGAGAUCUGGUAGAAUUAUCAAGGAGAUGAUAAAUGUGUAGUUUAGGAUCAUGCACAGAAGAAACAUAUUUAAGUUCACAAAUAUACUUUCAAUUUAACAGAAUGGUGACAAGACAUCAAGCAGAUUAUAUGCACAUAAAAACAUGUAGCUUUUCGGGGAAGGUGGAACAAGACAAUAUGCAGCUUACAUCCGUCAGCAAAUAGCACAGAAACACACAAGCAAGUAAUAAUACCGAUAACACAAAUAAAUACGAAAUGUUAUCUGAAGAGAAGGUAUGACUCACAAGCACUCCCACUGCGGCGGACAUAAAUUUUCUUGAGGGGUAUUCCAUUUGCCCUAAACAAAUUUGCCAACUUAUGGACUCUCCCAUCAUCCUUUGAGCAUGUAAUCUUCACCAUUUGAAGGUCUUUGCAAGUAAAUGAUCUUCCCUGUAGUUUGAUACCUGUUUCUGAUGCCUUUCUGGUAUUGAAGUUCUUUUGCAGAUCAAGAAAGUUGUUAAGCAUGUGUUCAGGUACUCAAAACUAAAAGAUAAUCAAGUAAGCAUAAGCCCCAAAUAUGUAAUUACACAUACAAUUUUAAGUUGGAGAAAGAGCUUCUGUAUAUUAGGUGAGUGCUGCAGCAAGUAAAUUAAUGCAUCAAAGUCUGCAGCCAUACACCAUACGCCAAGGGACAGGGUCUUCAGGUUGUCAAAAGUUGGACACAUAUUCAGUUCCCUACUCAGAACCACCUACACAUUGCACAUAAAAUGAGUGUUCAGCAAAUAAACAUAGUAAUUUGAAUCAAUUUUAUAUUUCAUAUACUGAAUACAAGAGGUUUAUUUAAUAUGCAGAGAAGAAAACAAACAUACCCACCACGAAAAGGAAAAGACAUACUAUAAUGUAUUUGAAUCAACUUCAUAUUUGAAUCAACAUACUAUAAUGUAUUCAGCAAAGAACAAUAAUAAUUUGAAUCAACUUCACAUUUUACAUACUGGACAUAAGAGGUCUAUUUGAUAUGCAGAGGAAAAAAGCAUACCCAACACGAAAAGGAAAAGACAGAGAGUAAUGUGUAGCCAUGAUUAGCGCCUAUUUGUAAAAUAUGAUUCAGCAUUCUUUUCUAUAAUGUGAAGGGACGUUGCCAUUUUACGUGCAUGCUCAAAAUAGUUAAUUAUACAACAAUAUAAACAGUAAUAAGAAUACAAGAAAAUGGCAAACAUUAAUCUGAAAUAAAUAAAUGAUGAAUAAUGGUCUGUUGAAGCCACACACACUUCCAUAUCUCAUUGAUUUCACCUACUACUUUGAUGAUGAAAUGAGCUAGUACUAAUUUCUUGAUCUGAAUUCUGAACUCUUCAGCAAGUCAACUGUGCUAACCAGGGGUUGGUACCUAUGUACGAAAUGUGCACAUUGGACAUAUAUGCGUUAUAUUGGGAGCAACAUAAAUGUCUUUUGUGAAGAUCAGAAAAGGCUGCUAAAAACAAUUAUGGCUAUAACAUGGAAAUUUUCGUACUCAAAGAUAGAGAGAUCAGUAAAAGGUGCUGACAGCUAUACCUCUCCAGCAUCAGUCAACAACUCCAAAGUUCUAGCACUUGAAAGAGACCCAAGAAUAUGACGUCCACCUAAAAUCUUCCUGCCAUUGCAUUCUCUGUUUCCACCAUAGUUACCAUUUUCACUGGAAAGCUUGGCCCCUUUGUAGCCAUACUUUGCAUCAUUUGCAAUCUCACUGUAUUCACAGGUAUUGUCAUCGCUAUCGAUAUCACUACCAUAAUCAAAAUUAUCCUUGUAAUGACCGUGCGUGUAACUUUCUUCAGCAAAAGUAUGUCCAUAUCCAAACCUUAUAAAAUGAUCAUAUCCAAAAUCAUCACCCAAGGAAGAGUCAUCAUGAAUCUUAGAGCUCUCUGUCCAAUCAUUAUCAUCGCUCUCAUCCCCGUCGUCAUCAGUAGUUCCAUCACAGUCAUCUUCAUCACUGAUGUGUUCAAAGUCAUCACCCAAGAAAGAGUCAUCAAGUAUGAUAGUGCCUGUGACCAGUGACCCCAAGUUCUUGAACGAUGGGACUCGGACGUAAGGUGUGGUGAGGCGCAGAAGUAGGAGGUUCGGAGCAGCAAUGGAGAAGGCGCAGUCGAUCUUGCAUUUGAGCAUGAUUAAAGUCUUCAAAGAGGCAGACACAAUCCCAGGGCCUGUCACCAGGCAAUCCUUCAGAUCCAGCUCCUCCAAAGACGUGCAGCUAGAAGAGAGCUGCUUGAGGAUCCUGUCGUUGAGCCUGGCAUACGACAGCUUCAGCACCUUGAGGUGGCAGGAGACGAACUGCACGCGGUCCAACGACGCGAUCUCCGAGCGAUGCCCAGCGAGAUGGAUGACCCGCGCGUUGCGGUUGAUGGCGGCCCUGAUCCACGCGCUGGCGUCGUCCUCGUCGUAGCCCGCGUCCUCGUCGCCGGACCGCAGGCGGAGCGUGCCCACGGGCGCCGACGCGUCGCGGAGGAGGAAGAGGCGGUGCACGAAGUGGCGGAACUCCUCCGGCGGGUCGGCGUCGCGGCCGGAGGAGUGGUGCAGGCGGAGGUCGACGCAGGGCGCGGACGCCCAGAGGUGGCGCCACCGGCGCGCGAGCACGCAGGUGCGGACCGCCUCCCACGCCUUGAGGGACGACAUGAUGCGGUGCAGGAGCGCGUCCGGGAGGGCGCUGAGGCGGUCGGGCUUCACGGCGACCUGGACGCGGGAGCCGGGCUUCCCGCCGGCGCCGCGGCGCGGCCCCGGGCGCUGGGUGGUGCUCCGGCGCAUUUCGUCGAGCAGAAGACCUGCACGCAGGUUUAGGGUCACACGGCGCGGCCUCGUGGAGAUUUUGUGAUCUGUGGAGGAAGGGAUGGAAUGGAACUUACCAAGAGGAGAGAGACUCGGCGAAAUGGGCGGAGUUUGUUGCCGCUUUCUCGGUUUUCCACUGGCGGCUGCUUCGGAGUGAAUUGUGGAGUGGGAUGGGGUAAACUCGGUCUUCUCUUUUUUUAUUGAGAGUGAACUCCACUUGUACCCCCGUUUGUAAAUUUGUGGCAUUGUCAACAUUGAAAAAAAUAAAUUAAAUUGUGGCAGUGUAUACCGAGAGACGCUCGACGUAAGGACAGCUUCGUACGUUUUUCUUUUCAAAUAGCUUCGUACGUACGGAAUUAGAGUUACGGAUCAGCACCACAUUCAAUCUCUGUCCCCCGUCCCCAUCGCGGACACACUCACCUCAUCCGCCCCACUUCACCGGUCGACACCCCGCCCCCUCUCAACCCUCCUUAGUCGCCGCCGCCGCACUCAACUCCGAUCAUGUUGGUGCGGCCGCAUCCUCCCGGUAAGACCUAUGAGGCCCGCGCCAAGAGAGUACUGGAAGAAGGCGUGGGACUACUUGGAGUUGACCGAGGACGACGCUCACCGUAAGGUUGAAUCAGUCGUCGGAGGGACCCGCCUACCCGCCGCCCUCGAGUAUUUUUGACUCAAUGUUGAUAGCAGCCUAGCAGAAAUGGACGCCGCGCUCACGUUGGCCUUCCGAUGCACAAUAUGGUGACUCUACUAGGUUUGCUCUUACAUCCCCGUCUGCCAGCACAGGCCAUAAAACCUCGAAACAGGCUUUCGCCCCGCUUUAUAUAUAAGCAAUCCCCAAACCAAGUACACGGUCGAACGAUACACGAUGGUGAGGUAGCUCUCAUACAAUGUCGAUCCCAAGAUAAUCUAAUCAUGCAGAACACGACUACGCUACCGAAAGAAAGCAUUGGGAAAACCGAGUACAACGCUACACAAUGCCCCAAACACCUAAGCUCCACGACAACACCCCGAGGAGGGAGAACGGUGCAGAGCAUCGCCGUUGUCCAGAAGGGACCAGGGUCUUCACCCGAAACUCUGACACGAAGAGGAGCACCACGACGAGGUCUUCAUGAAGAUAACACCGCCCGCAAGCAUCGUCGUCGUCAGCGACAAAGCGCAAAGCUUUCACUCGGCAUCCCCACUGAGCACAUGCCAUAAAACCACCCAGCUCAUUUGACUGCACCAUGUUUGGUGGUUUGGUCAAUGGUCAAGUCAGACCCACUGUGUGAAACCUAGGCGGACGGGGACGCGAGUCCGAUUAGGUGGGUAGGGAGGAUACUCCCAUCUGGUUUACACUCCCAAGUUGGAAUAUUGGCCAUCACACACAUCAUCUUGACAAGUGGACCCAACCGGUUAAAAUCAGGCAAAUUGUUAAAUUGGGUUAAACUAGACACAAGACAACAAUUUUGAGGUACAAUGUGGCAGAAAAUUUAAAUGGGGUAAAUACUAUCACAAAUACACAAAACAGUGGGUAACAUGUGAAAUUCGCUCUCUUAUUAACUGUGCGCUUUUUCAACAAAAGAAUGUUGUGCAUUUUUUCAGGUGUGUUAGCAUUUGUUAUUCAGAGAGAAAGUACCUCGCUGCUCGUAGUUGUAGGCACACAUGAUUGCAGAGCAUGAAGCUUACUUCAAUAUUGAUAUUCUACCUGAUGUAUAUGAAGUGUAUUUCCUUUUUACUGUAGAUGAAACAUAUUUCAAUACACUACUUACGAAGAUUUAAAAAAUCUAACAAAUGAACCGUACAGUCAUACAUUCAGAGUGAAAUAACAAAGCGUAUCUCAGCUGCACCACAAUUCAGGCAAGGAGCAUCCAUAAUUUUGUUUCUGUUCCGGUAAGAAAGCAAAGUUACCACAGACCACACAUAUGAACUCAUCCCACCACGAUUCUAGGAAGAACUUCCCGACGAUUUGUACCGAUAAAUAGUUCCAUCAUCCAUGCUACCAAAAAAAGAUAUCAAAAGAUCCGGUGAAGCUUUGAAAGCAUUAUCAGUGCUUACUAGGUCCUUGCUAACUACAUAAGGGACGAUUUGAUCGCGGUAGGAUUUAAUAUCUAGAAGACCCCGUAAACUUCUGGAUGUCAUGUUACAUCCAGUCAUCCCCACAUUCAUCCAGUUCUUGCUUGGCGAGUUCCCUCAUAAACUUCUGGCCACGGAGAUCUAGUAGAAAUAUCAGAAAGUAGAUGACUAUAGAUUAGGACCAUGUAUGAAAGAACAUCUUCUAAUUUAAUAGAAUACACUUCUCAUGUAAUAGAAUAUCAAUGAUACACUAAGCAGAUCAUAUGCCACCUAAAACAUAAUUCGCUUUUCAGGAACAUGGCAAUGUGUGUCAUUACAUCUCAGUAAAUAGCACAUGAAUAUAUAAACCAACAAACCAGUAAGGAAAUACUGAUACUGGAAGUAAAUACAAAAUGGUAUAUGAAGAGAAGGUAUGACUCACGAGCAUUCCCGCUCCGACGCACAUAUAUAUACUGAAGGGGUAUACCAUUUGCACUGAACAUAUGUGCCAAGGUAUGGACUCUCCCAUCAUCCUUUGAGCAUUUGAUCUUAACCAUUCUAAGGUCUUUGCAAGUAAAUGAUCUCCUCUCAAGCUUGAUACCUGUUUCCAAUGCCUUCCUCAUGCCGAAGUUCUUUAGCACAACAACCAAAUUGUUAAUAAGCAUGCGAUCAGAAAAAUAAAGUAAAUGAUCAAGUAGCAUACACCAAAUAUGUAAUCACACAUACCAAUUUAAGUUGGAGAAAAAGCCUCUUUAUAUUAGGUGAAUGCUGUAGCAGGAAAAUUAAUGCAUCAAAAUCAGCGGCCAUACACCAUUCACCAAGGGACAGGGUCUUCAGGUUGCUAAAAGUUGGACACCUUUUCAAUUCCCUACUCAGAACCACCUUCAUAAUGCAGCCAAAAGAGUAUUUAGCAAAGAGCAAUAGUAAGUCGAAUCAACUUCUCAGUUCUCACAAUACAAACAGCAUACGAGUGGUUUAUUCAACAGAAAGAAUAAAACAAAGAUACCCAUCUCAAAAAAGAAGGGAAAACAAAGAUACCCAUCUCAAAAAAGAAGGGAAAACAAAGAUACCCUCCUUUGGUUCAUAGGAUAGGAAAAUCAUAAGAAUAGAAAAGUCAUUGGAAGUGAGAUGACAUGCAUCUCAGUUCCUAUAGGAAAAGAGAUGUCACUUGGUUCAUAGGAUAGGAAUUUUUCCAUUAGGUAUGAGCUAAUGUUUUCCCCCCUUUGAAAUGUGAAGGACAGGAACAGGUCCUACAUGGGAAUAGGAAUUCAUUCCUAUAUACCAAAUGGCUCUAUAGGAAAUUUUUCAUUUAGAAAUCCUAUCAUAUAUAAUUCCUACAAAAAUCCUUAAUCAGUUUUCUAGUAACUGAAGGAACAUCAGCCUUAGACUCUCUUAUAAUGACUGGAUAUAAUUAAUCAGUUUUUUACAUUAUAUAUAGUUAAUCUGUUGAAAAGAUAUACUGUUGCAACAAAGAGAAAAACGACAAACAAUCCUAUGAGAAUGUAAAUGGUAAACAAUGCUCCCUCGAAGCUACAGUGCCCUACUACAUUUGAUGGUUAAGCAAACUAGUACUACUUUAUUCAUUUAAACUCUGUACCCAGGUAUUGACACCAGAGCAGAAGGUCAGAAAUGUGUUCAUUCGACACAUGUGUUCUGUUCAAGGGAACAUGACGUUUCUUUGUGAAACGUCCGGAAAAAAAUGUCCGAUGAUAACUGCAGAAAAUAUAAAUAGAAAAUAAGAGAGGAAAGAGACAGAUCAGUAAAAGAUGGUGAUAGCUAUACCUCUCCAGCAUCACUUAACAAGUCCAAACUCGUAGCAGUAGAAAGGCUCUCAAGCAUAUUUUGGCCACCUAGAAUCUUACUAUAAUUUCGACCACUGUUUCCACCAUACUUACCAUCUUCACUGGAAAGCUUGGCCCCUUUGUAGCCAUACUUUGCAUCAUUUGCAAUCUCACUAUAUUCAUAGGUAUUGUCAUCACUAUCAAUAUCGCUACCAUAAUCAUAAUUAUCCUUGUAACGACUGUGUCCAUAUCUUCCUUCAGGAAAACCAUAUCCAAAUCCAAAAUUAUCAAAAUUGCCAUCAUCACUGAUGUAUCCAAAGUUAUCAUCACUGAUGUAUCCAAAAUUAUCAUCACUGAUGUAUCCAAAAUCAUCAUCACUCAAGGAACAGUCAUCAUGAAUCUUAUAGCUCUCUCUCUUAUCAUUGUUGUGGUUAUCAUCAUCAGUAGUUUCAUCAAAAUUAUCUUCAUCACUGAUGUAUCCAAAAUCAUCACACAAGAGAGAAUCAUCAAGUAUGAUGGUGCCUGUGACCAGUGACCCAAAGUUGAUAAAUGACGGAACUCGGACGGAAGGUGUGAUGAGGCGCAGCAGCACGAGGUUCGGAGCAGUAAUGGAGAAGUCCCAAUUGAACGUGCAUUUGAGCAUGAUUAAUGUCUUCAAAGAGGUAGACACAAUCUUAGGGCCAGUGACCAAGCAAUCCUUCAGAUCCAGCUCUUCCAAGGAUUUGCAACUAGAAGAAAGCUGUCCAAGGAUCCUAUCGUCGAGCCUGGCAUACGACAACUUCAAGAUCUUGAGGUGGCAAGAGACGAAGGGCACGCGGUCCAACAACGCGACUCCCUUACGAUGUCCAACAAGAUGAAUAACCCGCGCUUUGCGGCUGAUAGCAGUCCUGAUCCACGAGUUGGCAUCUUUCUCGUCGAAGCCCACAUAGUCGUCGCUGGACCGCAGGCGGAGCGUGUCCACCGACGCGGACACAUCACGGUGGAGGAAGAGGCUGUCCACGAAGUCACGGAACUCCUCCGGCGGGUUGGCAUCGCGGAAGGAGGAGUGGCGCACGCGGAGGUCGAUGCAGGGCACAGACGCCCAGAGGUGGUGCCACCGCCGCGCGAGCACGCAGGUGGGCACCACCUCCCACGCCUUGAGGAACGACAUGAUGUGGUGCAGGAGCGCGUCCGGGAGGGCGCUGAGGCGGUCGACCCCGACGGCGCCGGCGCCGGCGGCGGAGGCUGAUGCCUGGCCAGCGCGGCGGUAAGGCCCCCAGCGCCGGGAGGUUGUCCGGCGCAUUUCGUCGAGCAGAUGGCCUGCGUACAGGUUCGGGCACCCCGGCGUAAGGAUUAUGCAGGAAAAUCCAUGGAGGAAUGUGCGUAUGGGGAUGGGAUCGCAGCGAGAGGGGCUGAGGGAGGAAGGGAUCCAACUUACGGAGGGAUUCGCCGAAAUGGCGUGGACUUCUUUGCCGCUUUUGGAUUUCGAAAUUUUGGGGAUGGAGUUCGAUCGCCAGUUCGCUACUCGCCUUCUCCCCCGCACCAAUUUUGUUUUCAGGGCUCUCCCCCGCAGCAAAUGGGGCGGCGGCUGCUUCAGCCGAUGGGCCUUUGGGCAUUCCGCCGCGUGUGUUACCAAGGGGUGGCCCAGUUAGCAACCCAUUAUAUUUCUCCAACAACAAAUGUACUACUACAAAAAAUUCUCCAUUUUGUCUAAAAAAUAUCUCAUGUUUCUAAAAAAAAGAAUCCAACUAAUGCAUUCUACUGCUUCCAAGCGACGACACGGUUUUCUUUUGCCUAGAACGUUCUGGAGUAAAAUGUCCCACUGGUCCAUAAACUUGGACCAGAUGCACACUUCUGUCCAUUAACUCAAAAAUUGCGCAUCGGAAGGCAUAAACCAGUAACUCCCUCUGUAAAAAAAAUAUAAAAGCAUUUAGAUCACUAAUUUAGUGAUCUAAAUUCUCUUAUAAUUUUUUAAGGUCUCUGCGUCUGUCAUCUGGCUUAUGUUUCAUGUAGCAUUCAGAUACUUUAGUUAAAAAAGAUUUAAACACGACUUAAGUUUUGUGCAGGGGUCUAGAUAACUUGACUGCUAUGUUGUCUACUAAAACCUUANNNNNNNNNNNNNNNNNNNNNNNNNNNNNNNNNNNNNNNNNNNNNNNNNNNNNNNNNNNNNNNNNNNNNNNNNNNNNNNNNNNNNNNNNNNNNNNNNNNNNNNNNNNNNNNNNNNNNNNNNNNNNNNNNNNNNNNNNNNNNNNNNNNNNNNNNNNNNNNNNNNNNNNNNNNNNNNNNNNNNNNNNNNNNNNNNNNNNNNNNNNNNNNNNNNNNNNNNNNNNNNNNNNNNNNNNNNNNNNNNNNNNNNNNNNNNNNNNNNNNNNNNNNNNNNNNNNNNNNNNNNNUCGGGUUCCCGUCCGAUGGCCCCCUCGAUGGCAAGAGGAGUAGGGACCCGCCCGCCCAUUCCGUUUUAUGUCCUUAUCGGCGAGGCGACGAUGGCAGCAAUGAUGUGUUGGAACAAGGUCUCUUUAGUCUCUUCCUACCUUGACAAUGUCCGUUCCGGCGUGAAGGGAGUUUUUUGUCCCGUGGGAGUCUGUAUCACCAAAUAUGUUGGUUGUCUUCAUAUCUUGGUUUCUGGUGUGUCAUUCAAGCAGAGCAAUUGGCCAGCCAUUAGUGUGACAUCUUAUUUGUAUUAUUCUCCGGCAUGGUCUGGUUUAUCCAACCCUCUGAAACGAUGUUGACGGAUUGCAAGCUUGUUUUGCAUGGCAUGAUGCUUCAACUGAUGUUUCUUCAACGACUUCUAGAUUUCAUCUCAAUGGACGAGUGGUUAUUGCUGUCUUUAAAUCAUGGUAUAACGAAGACGUUUGCACAUAUCUCUUUCUUUCACUGUUGGUUCGGUGCAAUUUCAAUCUCUGCCGAGUGGCGUACAAUCGAAGGAAGAAGAAGAAUACCCCCUUCGUGCCAAAAUACGUGUCGUUGAUUUAGUAUAAUUUUGUAUGGACUUUGUACUAAAUCGGCGUUACUUAUUUGGGAUGGAGGGAGUAGUAUAUUUGGCAAUGUAAAAAAAAUUGGUACUGUCCAGUUGUGUUUCAACUGUACUGCCCAUUAUUUUUCUUGCUAAAUACUCCCUCAGUCCCAAAAUAAGUGUCUACAUCCAAAAUAAGUGUUUCAAUAAAGGUAGUAUAAAGUUAAGACACUUAUUUUGGGACGGAAGGAGUAUCCGAUAUAAUAUGCCUUUUUUUCUAAAAGACCCAGCUGCCUGGCUUUUCAUUGAUUUAGCAGAAGAGAGAGUUACAAAAAUUGUCACUAAUCAAAGGAGAUUAGCAACAGAAGAAAGAAAGACCGGGUUUAAAGAAGAGCACGCAGGCUCUCCCCCUUCCCCUAUCCUCUGGAUAUCGUCUAAGGUUUAUUUCUCAUGUGAUAUCCCCGAAGGGGGGCUCUAAUCCUUUUGCUCCUGCCAGCCUCCAUUGAUCUAUUUCUCUUCUGCAAGCACUGAUCACAUCGUCAACGCAAGCCUCCUUCUUCCUGAACGUGCAGCUGUUGCGUUCCUGCCAGAUGUUCCAUGCAACCAGAGCCAGCAUGGAUUUGGAGGCUCGUCUGUUGGAUGGUGAUGAUGCAGAGACUAUUGCAGUGACAACCUCCGUUGUGGUCUUGCACCCGUCCCAGGUUACUGGGCUGAGCGCGCCGCAGCCCCUCCAUGCUGCUGCCCUGGCCCAAAUCAGCUGUGACGUGGGGCAGUCCCAAAGGAGGUGCGCCGAGCUCUCCAAGUUUCUGAGGCAUAACUGGCAGAAGUAGCCAUUCUUCCAUCCGCGCCGCUGCAGCCGGUCGUUGCACCAGAGCCGGUCAUGGUGCAACAGCCACAUGAGGAACUUGAUUUUCCCUGGCGCCCAUACCUUCCAGAUGAGCUGUUGUAGUGCACCUCUUGGCUGCCCAUCGAACUGAGCAUCGUAGGCUGAUUUGGCACUGUACUGAGCUCCCGCCCGCCAGGAGAUCUCAUCCUCCACCUCUUCCCACAAGGUGAGAUUGGCCUCGCGGAUGCUGCGGCGCAGAGAGACCAGCUGCGGGAUGAUCUCCAUCGCAUUGCUUCUCCGGAGAUCAAGGAUCCAUCUGUCGCCCUGGAGCGCUUCAGCCACCGAUCGGUUCUUUCUUGAUGAGUUGGCGAACAGCAGAGGGAACUGAAGUUUUAGCGGCUGAUCGCCGAGCCAGGUGCAGUUCCAGAACGUGGCCCUCCUUCCAUUUCCUAUGUCAACUCUAGUUUCAGCGGCGAAUAGUUCUCUGUCCUUGUCGUCGCACGGCGAUCCCGUGCCGACCCAUGGCCUGUCCGGAUGCUUCCAUGCGAGCCAGAGCCACCGUAGGCGGACUGCGCGCGCAAAACGUACCAUGUCUGGAAUGCCAAGGCCACCGCGGUCCACCGGCGAGGUUACGAGCUUCCAGUUGGCCUUGCACUUCCCGCCUGAGAUUUCCUCGUCCUGAUAAUAAUAAUAAUAUGCCUUCUUGGAUGUCUUUUUUGAUGUAUCCAUAAGAGAGAAACAACAUAGUGAAUUAAACAUGCAAACACGCCAUAGUACAUAAGUAUAAACACAAGGACAGUGAUCGUCUACAUAAUUACAAGAAAAUAGAGAUCGGAUUAACAUGUUUACAUGGAAACGAUGACAAAGCUUAGCUCACGAUCAUGACCUUGUGCUUGUCUGACUAACUUCGACCUCGUCCGCGACGGUGACACCAACAAGCAAAUCAAGCGCCUCCACAACAGCCAACAUGUUCCCGGGGCUUGCGUGAAGGCACCUAUACGCGACCAUGCAAGCAUCAUGACCCUCCCUAGCUUGAGCGGGUCUCUCAGACGUGGUCGUAGGUUCCGCAGGUUCUGUUCUGAAGCACAGGCCAACCAGGCCAACCUCUGCCCGGUUAGGAUCUCCAGUAACACCACUCUGAAACAGUACACGUCGCUCUUCUUGGUGAAGUCCCCGGACAUGACGUACUCCGGCGCAGAGCCGUACCCACUUGUUAUGAGUGUGUACACGUUAGGAUCGUCACCUUUCCCGUAUUUUCUGGCGAACCACAGGUCUGAUAGCUUGACAUUGUUAUACUGAAGUGUACAAAGAGUAAAAAUCAUUAGCGAGUGUAUGUUGGGUCUAGCCAGGUAAUAGUGGCAAUCGAUGGUCUUUCUAGUGGCCCUGUUGAUAAAAUGCUUAAUUACGAUGCCCUGACUCUUUCAGUGCAUAAACGAAAAUACGAAGUUCUUGUCAAAUGGAAAAAAUCGUGAUUGCAAAAGUAAAUUAAGAAAACUAUACCUAGAACCACUUCUUUAAUUAUGACUAAGUAUAGUUUUGACUGUGUGCAUCUUAGUUGUAUAGAGGCCGGGUAUUGCUAAUCAUGCUUUGUAUUUGCUUGAUGCUAUAUUUGAAUUAAUUAAAAGCGCCCCUCAUCAAAAAUUUGUUGCCCGUUCCUCUCGCGUUAGGUGGUUGUUUCUUUCUUUCCAAUCGUUGCCUAGUGGGCACGGUCAACCAAACAAAACAUGUUUAUUGUGUUGUACUAUCAAUUUUAUUUCAAUGAAAUUAGGGUGCAAAGUUUAUUUCAUCAAAAAAUUGUUAUCCUCUCAAAAUUCCAUGCAUAUGGACUAAAUAAACAAUCACUAAAAAAAGAGGAAGAAUGAUCACCGAGUCUAGUAAGAUGUUGGAGGCGUUAAAUUUGACGGAGAUCAGUGGCUUCUCUUCACCAUGGAGGGACAACAACCCUUUCGCGGUAGCUAGAGCAAUGCUUAACCGUGUUGACCAUGACAACACAACACGAAUAUCUAAAACAUAUGAUACAUGAUAUUAUUUUGCCAAUAGAUAUCACAUGAAAUUGUUUUGCAGGUACAAAUCACUGGAAAAUUAACUUGAUCCAUUUCAAUUCUUGCAGAAAUCAUUAAUCAUGAAACCACCUAACAAUCAUGCUCUGCACACAUCACAGAUCAUGAAUCAUGCUCUGCACACAUCACAGAUCACUUUCAAAAGGAGUAGUACUAGUUUUGUAAAUGUGGGUUAAUUAAAGUCAAGGCGUUAAUUGGGAGGUUUCGUGCGUACUGACUUACCACUGGAGAGGUAGUUUGCCAAGCUGCCAUGGCCCAUUAGCUCGUAGACGAGAAGCCUGUGCAGCCCCUCGUAGCAGUAGCCGAUCAUCUUCACCAGGCUCGGCUGCCGCGGCUGCAGCUCCCCCAGGAAUAUCGAAUCUUUCUAAUCACAGAGAAGGAAGUUGAUUAGAGAUACUAUUCACUAACAGAACACGUACAUCGAUCUACCUACGUACCAGAUGUUCCUCGGAGUGGUAGUCGUCAGCACGGACUCUCUUGACGGCGACUGGCUGCGCCGGGAGCCCCGGCCGGAAGCCGUCCUCGAGGGAUCCCCUGUACACCGUCCCGAAACUGCCGCUGCCGAUUUUGUUUCCUGAGGCGAACCCUCCGGUCGCGGCGCUCAGCUCCGCAAAGGUGAACCUGUGCAUGUUGGAGUUGGGCGACACAGGCGCCGGCACCGGCAACUGAUCCUCCUUGAUGGCGGCGUCGGUAAGCAGAUCCAGCGCCUUCACGACGUCCGACAUGUCUGGCCUCUCCUCGGGUUUGACAUGGAGACACUUGUAUGUGACCAGGGCAGCCUUGUGUGCGGCUGCCACUGGGUAGAUGCCCUUCAAUGCUUUAUCCAUGAUCCCUGCCAGUUUAACCGGGUCUUCGAGAUUCGGCCGCGCGUACUCCAACAGGUUCCGCUCCUCCUUGAUGGGUCUUUUCAUGUCUACCCACUUCAUCCCUGUGAUCAGAAUCUCCAACAACACCACCCCGAAGCUGUACACGUCGCAUUUCGGGGUGAGACUGCCGGACAUGACGUACUCCGGUGCGCUGCCGCGCGGUGUUCCAAGGCGCGAGCGCGUGGUGGUGACCGAGCCGUCGCUCGCUCUCGUGUCAAGCCUCAGGCCCGAGAGCGAGAUCUUGGCAUUGUUAUCCUGGAGAAGGAGCAUAAACUAUUAGCCGGUUGUGUCCUCCCAAGUUGCGUAGUUAACAUUUAACAAGGGCGAGAGAUGCAGAAUGGUCUCCUACCGAGUCCAGUAGGAUGUCGGAGGCAUUGAAUUCGCCGCAGAUCAAUGGCUUCUCCGCGCCGUGGAGGGACACCAGCCCUUUCGCCGUAGCUAAGACGAUGCUUAGUCUGGUUGACCAUGGCAGCACGGGACGAUAAAAAGCUGAAAUUUGCAUCACAUGAAAUGAAUUCAUUUCGAUGUCAUUUUCUGAUUUGCACAUAUGGGGAAUUGGGGAUAGAGUCAACGCUAGGAGGGCUCCUUGUGUGCGUACGUACGCUUGAAGAAGUAGUCGUCCAAGCUGCCAUGGUCCAUGAGCUCGUAGACGAGGAGCCUGUGCUCCUCCUCGCAGCAGUAGCCGAUCAUCCUCACCAGGCAGGGAUGCCGCAGCUGCAGCUCCCCGAGGAACAUCGCCUCCUUCUGAUCACACGGUAGCCGAGAGAUGGAGAUGGAGUACAUCUGAUCAAUGUGAAAUUGGGGGCUGACAUCGAGGAGUAGGUACGUACCACCAUUCCCUCGACGNNNNNNNNNNNNNNNNNNNNNNNNNNNNNNNNNNNNNNNNNNNNNNNNNNNNNNNNNNNNNNNNNNNNNNNNNNNNNNNNNNNNNNNNNNNNNNNNNNNNACCUCGUCCACGAUGGUGACACGAACAAGCAAAUCAAGCGCCUCCACAACAGCCAACAUGCUUGGACGUUUCCCGGGGCUUGCGUGAAGGCACCUAUAUGCGACCAUGCAAGCAUCAUGUGCCGUUGUCACCGGGUAAAUGUCUUUCAACACCGGGUCCAUGACCCUCCCUAGCUUGAGCGGGUCUCUCAGACGUGGUCGUAGGUUCCGCAGGUUCUGUUCUGAAGCACAGGCCAACCAGGACAACCUCUGCCCGGUUAGGAUCUCUAGUAACACCACUCCGAAGCAGUACAUGUCGCUCUUCUUGGUGAAGUCCCCGGACAUGACGUACUCCGGCGCAGAGCCGUACCCACUUGUUAUGAGUGUGUACACGUUAGGAUCGUCACCUUUCCCGUAUUUUCUGGCGAACCACAGGUCUGAUAGCUUGACAUUGUUAUACUGAAGUGUACACAGAGUAAAAAUCAUUAGCGAGUGUAUGUUGGGUCUAGCCAGGUAAUAGUGGCAAUCGAUGGUCUUUCUAGUGGCCCUGCUGAUAAAAUGCUUAAUUACAAUGUCCGUGACUCUUUCAGUGCAUAAACGAAAAUACGAAGUUCUUGUGAAAUGGAAAAGAAUCGUGAUUGCAAAAGUAAAUUAAGAAACCUAUCCCUAGAACCACUUCUUUAUGAUUAAGUAUAGUUUUGACUGUGUGCAUCUUAGUUAUGUAGAGGCCGGGUAUUGCUAAUCAUGCUUUGUAUCUGCUUCAUGUUACAUUUGAGUUAAUAAAAAGCGCCCUUUAUUGAAAAAUUGUUGCCCGCUCCUCUCGUGUUAGGUGGUUGUUUCUUUCUUUCCAAUCGUUGCCUAGUGGGCACGGUCAACCAGACAAAACAUGUUUAUUGUGUUGUACUAUCAAUUUUAUUUCAAUGAAAUUAGGGUGCAAAGUUUAUUUCAUCAAAAAAUUGUUAUCCUCUCAAAAUUCCAUGCAUAUGGACUAAAUAAACAAUCACUAAAAAAGAGGAAGAAUGAUCACCGAGUCUAGUAAGAUGUUGGAGGCGUUAAAUUUGACGGAGAUCAGUCGCUUCUCUUCACCAUGGAGGGACAACAACCCUUUCGCGGUAGCUAGAGCAAUGCUUAACCGUGUUGACCAUGACAACACAACACGAAUAUCUAAAACAUAUGAUACAUGAUAUUAUUUUGCCAAUAGAUAUCACAUGAAAUUGUUUUGCAGGUACAAAUCACUGGAAAAUUAACUUGAUCCAUUUCAAUUCUUGCAGAAAUCAUUAAUCAUGAAUCAUGCUCUGCACACAUCACAGAUCACUUUCAAAAGGAGUAGUACUAGUUUUGUAAAUGUGGGUUAAUUAAAGUCAAGGCGUUAAUUGGGAGGUUUCGUGCGUACUGACUUACCACUGGAGAGGUAGUUUGCCAAGCUGCCAUGGCCCAUUAGCUCGUAGACGAGAAGCCUGUGCAGCCCCUCGUAGCAGUAGCCGAUCAUCUUCACCAGGCUCGGCUGCCGCGGCUGCAGCUCCCCCAGGAAUAUCGAAUCUUUCUAAUCACAGAGAAGGAAGUUGAUUAGAGAUACUAUUCACUAACAGAACACGUACAUCGAUCUACCUACAUACCAGAUGUUCCUCGGAGUGGUAGUCGUCAGCACGCACUCUCUUGACGGCGACUGGCUGCGCCGGGAGUCCCAGCCGGAUGCCGUCCUCGAGGGAUCCCCUGUACACCGUCCCGAAACUGCCGCUGCCGAUUUUGUUUCUUGAGGCGAACCCUCCGGUCGCGGCGCUCAGCUCCGCAAAGGUGAACCUGUGCAGGUUGGAGUUGGGCGACACAGGCGCCGGCACCGGCAACUGAUCCUCCUUGAUGGCGGCGUCGGUAAGCAGAUCGAGCGCCUUCACGACGUCCGACAUGUCUGGCCUGUCCUCGGGUUUGACAUGGAGACACUUGUAUGUGACCAGGGCAGCCUUGUGUGCGGCUGCCACUGGGUAGAUGCCCUUCAAUGCUUUAUCCAUGAUCCCUGCCAGUUUAACCGGGUCUUCGAGAUUCGGCCGCGCGUACUCCAGCAGGUCUCGCUCCUCCUUGACGGGUCUUUUCAUGUCUACCCACUUCAUCCCUGUGAUCAGAAUCUCCAACAACACCACCCCGAAGCUGUACACGUCGCAUUUCGGGGUGAGACUGCCGGACAUGACGUACUCCGGUGCGCUGCCGUGCGGUGUUCCUAGGCGCGAGCGCGUGGUGGUGACCGAGCCGUCGCUCGCUCUCGUGUCAAGCCUCAGGCCGAGAGCGAGAUCUUGGCAUUGUUAUCCUGGAGAAGGAGCAUAAACUAUUAGCCGGUUGUGUCCUCCCAAGUUGCGUAGUUAACAUUUAACAAGGGCGAGAGAUGCAGAAUGGUCUCCUACCGAGUCCAGUAGGAUGUCGGAGGCAUUGAAUUCGCCGCAGAUCAAUGGCUUCUCCGCGCCGUGGAGGGACACCAGCCCUUUCGCCGUAGCUAAGACGAUGCUUAGUCUGGUUGACCAUGGCAGCACGGGACGGUAAAAAGCUGAAAUUUGCAUCACAUGAAAUGAAUUCAUUUCGAUGUCAUUUUCUGAUUCGCACAUAUGGGGAAUUGGGGAUAGAGUCAACGCUAGGAGGGCUCCUUGUGUGCGUACGUACGCUUGAAGAAGUAGUCGUCCAAGCUGCCAUGGGCCAUGAGCUCGUAGACGAGGAGCCUGUGCUCCUCCUCGCAGCAGUAGCCGAUCGAUCAUCCUCACCAGGCAGGGAUGCCGCAGCUGCAGCUCCCCGAGGAACAUCGCCUCCUUCUGAUCACACGGUAGCCGAGAGAUGGAGAUGGAGUACAUCUGAUCAAUGUGAAAUUGGGGGCUGACAUCGAGGAGUAGGUAUGUACCACCAUUCCCUCGACGCAGUUGUCGACCCGCCACCGUGUCCGCUUGACGGCGACGGGCUGCGCCGGGAGCCCCGGCCGGACACCGUCCUCGAUGAAUCCCCUGUACGCCGUCCCGAACUCGCCGCUGCCGAUUUGGUUGCAGCAGGCGAACCCCUCGGUUGCCGCGCACAGCUCCGCGAACGUGAAGGCGUGCAGGUUGGAGUUGGACGCCGCCAGCGACAGGUCGUUGUUCCUGACGAUCGGCGGUGGCUGCUCCGCCAACCCGCCGCUUGCUGGGACGUUCUCCCCAGCCGCCAUGGUCCAGCCGAGGCAACCGUCGAGGAGUGACCUCCACGACGACGAAGACGCCGUCGACUUCCUUGAAGCAGCCUUGGAACCGGACCCCAUAGUUAGCCCGCGCGGCACCCACGCAGCUACUAGCUUGCAAGUUGCAAGUGAUGCCUUAUAGCAUAUUUUUCUCGAAUAUGCACGAGUGUGCAUAUCAUUCAUUAAAAAAGGGAGGGGAGAGAACCCCAAAUCCACAUUACAAGCUUAUUUACAUGCGGACCUCGUCCAACACCACCCCACACUUGACACAACUACUCGCUAGUACCCCACGCUUCCUGCUCUACUUCGAACCCUACAUUGUGUCCUUUGAACAAUCCCGCCUUCGCCCAUAGCCUACCUUCCUCCUGUAUGCGUUGUAUGGUUCGUGGAACCGACGGCCUCUCCCCAUUAAAGAUCACGUCAUUCCGCUGUUUCCAGAUCAUCCACAUCCCAAGAAGGCAUUUGGCUUUGUGCGCACGCCCGCUGUCUGAGUUUCCGUCUUGCCUUGUCGACCAUUGUUCUAGCGGUUCAUUUUGCCUCGGCUCAAUGUCCACUCUCUCCGUAAGUCGGCCCAUUGUCGACCAAAUCUGCCUCGCGAAUACACACUCCAUCAACAAGUGCUGCAUGGUUUCAUCAUGUUGGUUGCACAACGGGCAUGUGUCCUGGUGGGGUAGUCCACGUCGGGCGAGCCUAUCCGAAGUCCAGCAUCUGUUCCUUAUCGCCAGCCAGGAGAAGAACCGGCAUCGCCUUGGCGCCUUAGUCUGCCAGGUAAACACGGCAGUUGGGGACACCUCUCUCCCCAUGUACCGAGCCGCAUAUGUCAUACGAGCCGAGAACUCUCCAUUCUGCUCCCACAUCCACCUCACCGUGUCUUCCAUCUCAUCAGCAAGUUGCACUUCCGCCACCUUUGGCCAAAGAUUUAGAAAUUCGUCCAGAGCCUCCGGUGGUAGGUCAGUUCCAACGUCGUUGGCCCAGUUGUUGUUGCGUAUUGCAUCCGCCACCAGCUUCGACUGGCGCACUCUCUUCGUGACUAGACUGUAGAUUCGCGGGGCCAGCUCAGACACCCGAAAACCGUCGAUCCAUCUAUCCUCCCAAAAAAGUGUUUUUCUGCCAUUGCCUAUCAUUGUCCGCGCAGCUGCAUGCACCAAAGCUUGCGAGUCAGCUGGCACCACGAUGGAGAAUUCUGCCCAGGGCCUUUCCUUGUCCACCUUUUGAAGCCAUGGCCAUCUUGCCCGUAGUGCUUUAUUCAUCCAAAACAGGUUGGGUAGCCCUAGUCCGCCUGUCCAUUUGGGCGUACAUACUUCGUCCCAUGCAACCGCACAAGACCCACCACUUGCUUCAUUCUUUCCACACCACAGGAAGCUUCUGCAGAUCUUGGUUAGCGCCACUAAAGUUUUCCUUGGCAGGUCCAGAGCCAGCAUCGAGUGCACCGGGAUGGCACAUAGUACCGAUUGGAUCAACAGCAGUCUACUACUCUUUGGCAGCAUAGCUGCUUUCCACAUUGGUAGGCAUCAGCAACUUUGUCCACCAGAUGUUGAAGUUGCGCCGCGGUGGGUUUCCUUAUCGUUAGUGGCAUCCCCAGAUACUUGCACGGGAAUGAGGCAUUGGCACAGCCCAAGGAAGAGGAGACCAGAUCCAUCUCCUCCUGAGAGCAUCGAAUCGGUAAGGAGACACUCUUGGCCAUGUUGACAACAAGGUCGGAGGCCUGCCCAAAUAGCGCAAGUAUAUGUCGGCACAUCCUUGUUUCCAGCUCAUUGGGUUUGAAGAACACCACUACAUCAUCCGCGAACAUAGAUACACGCUGUUGCAAGCCGUUCCAUGCCAGUGGCUCCAACAAACCUCUGUCCAUGGCAUACUUGAACAUGGCCCUGAGAGGCUCCAUGCACAGAAUGAAGAGCAUAGGCGAUAGCGGAUCACCUUGUCGUAGACCCUGACACGCCAGAAUCAGUUUGCCAGGUAUGCCAUUCACCAUGAUCCUUGUGGAGGAAGUUGCUAGCAGCCCACAGAUCCAUGCAAUCCAUUUUUCUCCAAAUCCAAAGCGCCGCAGUACCUCGAUGACAAAAGGCCAACUGAUCGAGUCAAAAGCUUUGGUAAUGUCCAACUUCAGAAGAACCGUUGGGGAUUUCAACACAUGUAGACGACGUGCCAUGCACUGAACAAGAAUGAAGUUGUCAUGCAAGGAACGCCCCUUAACGAACGCACUUUGGUGUUGCCCGAUGAGCUUUGGAAGAUCCUCCACCAGUCUAGUUGCCAGAACUUUGUCAAAGGUUUUGACUGGUCCACUAAUGAGGCUCACCGGCCAGUACUCCCUGAUGUCCAUUGCGCCAGCCUUCUUUGGUAAUAGCGUGACCAGAGCCUUGUUGAUUGUAGCCAUGCCCCGCAUAUCCUCCCUAUGAAACUGCUCAAGCGCCCUCAUGAAAUCCACCCUCACAAUAUGCCAGCAAGUUGUGUAGAACCUGCCGGUGAACCCGUCGGGUCCCGGCGCCUUGUCCAUAGGCAUGCCCUUGAUGGCUUUGUGAAUUUCCUCCUCCGUAAAUGGUGCCUCAAGCCUUGAUAAAUCCAUAGAUGGUAAGUCAAGCACAUCUAGGUUGAUAUUGGCUUCUCUAGCCCCUGUUGUUCCCAUCAGAUCCUGGAAAUAAACAUCCACCACAUCCGCUAUCCUCUCCUGCCCGGUGAAGAUCUCGCCAUUGUGCUGAAUGACAGUUAUAGAGUUCUUCCUCUGCCUAUGCCUCGCGUGCCUUUGGAAGAAAGCAGUGUUUGCGUCCCCCACCUUCAGAUGCAAUAGGCACGAUCUUUGUCUGGCAAUCAUUCUCUCCAAGGAGCAAAGCCCUAACAAUUUCCUCUUUAACAACUUGCGGAGUCCAUGCUCCUGAUUCGACAGCACCAUAGAUUCUGCCGCCACAUCCAGUCUUAAUAUGAUUUCCAUUGCCAAAGCUAUCUGGAGACGGGUGUUGCCAAUCCAACAGUCGCUCCAACUUUGCAAGGCCUUCGCCGUGGCCCACAGCUUGUUGUCCAACACUAUAAAUGGGUUGCCCACCGAAGGGAUGGAUUGCCACACCUGCUCCACUGUGUCCAAAAAUCCUGCAGCUUUGGGCCAGAAGCACUCGAAUUUGAAGCGGUGGCCCACCUCGAACUCAGCGUCCAAGUCCACAAGUAAUGGGCAGUGGUCCGAGAUUGCCCUACCGAGCGUAGUUACCAGACUCUUGGGGUAUAUAUCCUCCCUGCAGUUGGUAACGAAAACAUGGUCUAUUUUCUCCAUCGUUGGGUUUCGACGCUCAUUGCUCCACGUGUAGCGCCUCCCAUUGAGGUAUAGCUCCUUGAGCUCGAGCCUAUUUAGCAUGGCCAUAAAUCUAGCCAUCAUGCGCCUAUUGGAAGUUGCCUUAUUCUUGUCCUCCGGAUUGACAAGCAAGUUGAAAUCGCCCACAAUCGCCCAUGGCCCCGCAUGAAGGUCUCUAACAUCCCGAAUCUCCUCAAGAAAAGCCACCUUUUCCGCAUCACCUUGUGGCCCAUAAACCCCGGUAAGCCACCACAUGGGUAGCCCUUCCUGUUGGAUUAGUGCUGUUAGGGUAUUUGCCGUUAGGUGUGUAUUGGUGAUGGAUACCACCAAUUGAUCCCAUGCAAGUAGUAUUCCACCUCUAGUGCCCACCGCCGGAACAUAGUAGAAAUGCUCAAAUCUAUUGCCAAGGGUUUGUCUUAAAAUAUCAUCCGAAAUGACCUCCAUCUUUGUUUAUUCAAGACACACUACAUCCACUUUUGCCGCGUCUACCGCUUGGAAGAUAGUGUUUCUACGUGCUGGGGAGUUAAGCCCUCUCACGUUCCACACCAGGAUUUUAGGAGGUUGCGUAGUCAUAUUAGCAUCCCACCUCCACCAUGGCACUAGGGACUAAAGGCCCUCGACCACCGUAUCCUAAUCCCCUUGCAGAGGUAAGAUGGAUUCCUCCCACCCAAACAACGCCAAUAUGGCCUUGACAUGGCAGUCCAUGAGCGGCUUGUCGAACAGCCUCGCGUAUGCUUCCAGGGUGUCGUCGCUUAUCAGAUCUGCCUCGUUCGCUAGACAUAAUUUCUUGAUCAGGACUGCUUGUUGUUUUGAAGCUCGAGAGCCCCGACCUCCCUUGGCAAGCCGCACGCUGCGCCUAGGAGUUGUUACUAGCGCCUUCUUCUGGUGCGGUCUUCUCUGCCUCACCGCAAUGCCUCUGGAUGUGGGCUGCUCCAGGAUCGGCGUGAUGUUGCCCCUGAGGUCAUUGCAAAGCUGGGCCGCCCUAUCUUCAGGAGACGGGUCCGGCACGGCAAGGGCGGACGACAUAUUUGUUUCCUCAAGAUGCUCAGAAAGGCUAACCAAAAACCAUCCAGCGCCUCCCGUGCAUGGCGGCGUCCCAUCCACAUGCAGCUCGGGCCCCACUAGUCCCUCCGCAGAUUCUGAAUACCCCGGCAAAUCGACCAGUACGGAACUGCCACAGUUGUCGCUGGCAAAAUCCUCCUCGGUCGGGGCGCAUGGCCCCCUCAGCGGGCUUUCCUCCACAUGGGAGAGGCGCAGUUCCCAAUCUCCCACUCUGAUCCCAGGCGAAUCUGUAGUGCCCACAGGGCUGCUAGGCCCCACCAUCGGACGCGACCCAGCCUGGCCCAGCGCUGUCUGCCCAACCAUCGCCAGAGAUGGCACAAUCCCACCAUCCAGUUGGUUGAUCGAAGCCACCGAAUCCUCACGAACCAGCAGCCUUGGCACAUAGCCUGCUCGGCCCCCACUCUGGUGCCCAGUGGGGCCGACUCUGCUUUCCACUGACGGGGCCUCCAUGACUAUCGAAUCGCCUAGGGCGCGCUCCACCACCAACGGGCGUUCCACGCUGACCUCACCCACGAUCAGGGUCGCGUCAGCCGUAUCAUCCGAAACAGUCCCCGUACAGUCCACCUGGUCCCGCUGACCGGCCACGUGGUUUCGAAAUCCACCACCCUGCUGCGGCUGUGGCGGCGAAGGGGCCGAGUUCGCCGAAGAAGAAUCCGGCGAGGCCCUGGAUGGCGGCGCCGGCGGGCCCCCAUUUGCAUCUCGACGGUCACCACUCCCAUCAUCACCAGCAGACAGCGGGAAGGGGGCGGCGGCGGUGGUGGCGGAGGCGCCGCCCCGGCCAAAUCGUCCACCCGAAUCGCGUCCCCAAUCUGGCUGAUCGAAAUCGGGUACCACAUCGCGUCGUCCUGCUUUCCGGCAGCCAUGGCGUGCUCGCCGCGCCUGCCCUGUUCUUCCACCACGAGAAUGCGCUUAGAAGGGAUUCUUGCCGGGUCAUCCGUCCGCAGCCAGACCUUGAAUUCAGCCAUAUCCUAGACAAGCUUGACCGCUCAUACAUGAGUAGUCUAGUGCUACAUCCAUCCUAGUUUAUUAGCCCCCUUUGUAAUUUGUGUCAAAUUUUGAUCAAAGAUUUAACUAACAAAAUGUUAAUGCAUGUCAACAAAUAUUACAUCAUUGGAUUCGUAUUUGAACAUAGUUUUCAAUGAUAUAAUUUUUUGUUACACGCAUGAACAUUUUGUUAUUUUAAUCUAUAGUUAAAAUUUGGCACAAAAUACAACGAGGACUAAUAAACCAAGAUGGAGGUAGUAGAAAGAGCAGUACCACCAAUAAUGAUCGGUAGCGUAAUGGCUAGUACACGAUAAGUUUUACUUGUUGCAUUAUCGACCAAAAUGUAGGUUAAGUAGAGAGCAACAGAUCAGUCAUUGACCACGGGAGGAAGCUGCGGGCUGCUGGAGAAGAACCCGUACUAGUCAUGGACGAAGCCACAUCCAACGAGAUUGACCAUGCAUCUCCGCGCCCCGCUGCAGAAGUGGUUAACCUCGCAGUCGAGUACAUAGGACAGGCAUGUUCGGUAGUCGGUUAGUGCCAGAUACAAUGUACAUUUGACUAGCCCAGAGAGUCCGACCGCGGCGGUGGCUAAGAGCACUCGAGAGGAGGAGGCAUUCCUCGGGACCGUUGCUGGGAGGUGUUCAAUGUUGGCCUGGAAGGUGCCGUUGAUAGCAUAGAUGUUGCUAGUUGCUCCGUAGAAGGUGUGGAGGACGGCGACGAGUGACGGGGCAAGAGAGACGUCCAACAUUAUGGUUGAUGCGAGGUAGGAGGCCCCCAUAGCUACAUCUGAUGGAGAGAUAAGAGCGUGAGAGAGGGAGGGCGGGAUCAGGUAACGAUGGAUCAAAGAGAGCGAGAAAGUGAUGACGAUUGACAGCUAGCUAGCUCUAAGUGAUCGAGCAUGUAACGGAAGUGCACUUGUUACCAUUGUCGCACUCUGAGAGAUGCAUGCGUGCAUAGCUAGCAGCCUCCUGGCCUCACCGCGCGCCUCAUCAAGCUAAACAACUGAUGUCGUGUACAAAAUAAAAAGAUUCGUCUGCUAUCCAUUUGAAGAAAAUACAACAUUAUUGGAUGUUGAUGAUCAAUGAUUUCGUUCGCUUCUACAAUUAUUAAUAAGUGUGUGUUUGGGAGGGGAGGCUUGGCCCUUAGGGUCGUACAACCCCGUCCUCAAUGCUCAAGUGUGCAGGAUUACAACUUUCUCGAUCGCCUGAGUUGCAUUCAUCUUCGUGAGACUGUUACACCAAUAAUACAUGAUCCUCGCCUGGUAUUGGGCUAACCGUGCAGGGAAUAUUGGGCUGACAUCUCGAGAUCCAUGCGCCUGCCACAUGAUUGGUGUGUAACUAUGUUACUAGUGUGCAACUUUUAAUCCCGGACUGAGAUAGUAUUUGGAAGAGUUAAAAUGUCUUAGUAUGUACUAGAUCAUGUUUGGUGUGUGUCGCUGCGCCCGCCUUAGUAUGCACAAGCAGGUGCAUGACCUUCAGUGACCCUCCUACUAUGAUCAUGGACCACUCGCCACUUGAAUUGGUGGAUUAGGUCAGAGGUUAAAGGUGUCAUGAUCCUCAGGAGUACACCUUGUGUCUCACCUCGUGUGAUCUGUUGCCUUCAAAAAACCUUGCUAACCAAAGUAUGAGACUUUUCGUUUCAAGUCACAGUCGAAUAGGACAUUUGUAUCUAAAAAUGCAUGCACAACACCAGUGGCGGAGCUAGAUGAAAACUUCUAGGGAGGGCAAAGAUAGAAUAUGAGUGUUUGCGGCGGGAGGAUGCUUGAAGAUUUUCAUCUAAGCCCUCCCAUAAACUUUUUGUUCACAACUUGGUUUAAAGAUGUGGGGGAGGGGGCAAUGGCCCUCUCAGCCUAACACAUAGCUUUGCCCUUGCAUGACACACGAUAGAUUGAUUGCAAUGGUACUAUGACCAAGAGUAACCAAAAAAACAUAGCAUAGAUGUUUUUGUUAGAAAAGGAGGAUUACCCCCGACCUCUGCAUCUAGGCGAUGCAUGCAGCCAUUCAUAGAUGUGAUUGUCUAGACUCUUGUUGGGGAGCUACUCGUAAACAAUUGUAGACCCAUCGGGCGGGGAUAAUCAUUCCGGUCCUGGGAGAGGUGGCGACACCAGUCUAAGCUGAGGGAAGCCAGCCAAUUGAGUCACUGAAACGACCGCAGGAGGCCCCCCCCCCCAAGAUAGAAACCAGUUGUCGUUUCAUAUAUGCGCUAGGAGAUAGUAUCCUAUCCCCCUCAAUCUCAGGAGUCGUUUUCUCUAUGCCGGACUUAUGGGUGGAAAAAAUAUGUAUUUCGGUCACCAUGUCGUAGCCAAUUGGCUCUGCCCCACUGGAGCCAUGCUACUUCUUCUGCUCUUUCUCUCUACAUUGCAUCAAAGAAAUUAGAGAGAGAGAGAGAGAGAGAGAGAGAGAGAGAGAGAGAGAGAGAGAGAGAGAGCAGAUGGAUCCUAUCCCCUAUAACGAACACACAUUCCUAUCUAUUGAUAGAAAAGAAAGAUCUUCGUCACGGACUUUUUCUUUGUUCUUUUUUUUAGAUUUGAGGAAUUCCUCAUAUCCAAGGCAGCUCCCCACAAACACCCUACCCAUAUGACUAUGCCCCCUUUUGAAUCGACAGUAGAUUGGAAAAGCUCAUCUGACCCCAAGGUGGUACGUAUCCUAUAGAAGCUGUCACAAUCAUUAAUAGGAAUAUGACAACUUCGAGACACCGAACAAAUUCCUUAGGACUGCUAUAACUCGCAUAAUAUAGACCACAAAAAUAUGAAGGUGAACCACAAUGAGAAACUUGCCCCAUUAGCAUGCAUAUAACGGAGCAACCAGCCCCCUUCAAGUUCCCCUGCUCCUCAAAACAAGCACCUAUAAUUCUCACUAAGUUUUUGUGCAGUAGCUUAGCAAGCAAAAGCAGCUCCAAUGCCAACUCGUUUAUCCCCUGUCGAGAAUUCUGUGAUAGUCUCUUAAUGAUGAGUGAUUGGUUAGAGAGAGUUCCCUAAUGUAUAAAAUGGAGACAUUGGUAAAAAAAAUACUGCAACAAUAAAUAGGUGUACCUUGUAAAGUGUGCCAAAACCACCUUCACCUGGUUUGUUAUCUAAAUCUAAUUCCGUCGUUGCACCUCAAAGUAUUUGCAGAUCUAUUUAAAGGGACUCAUCAACUUUUUUUAUCCUUGUGAUCAAAUAUACCUAGCAUAACCAUUAUAGUUCUACCUCGGAAGUAAAAAUUGACAUGGAUAGUUACAGUGCCACCUUGAAAAUAAAGCAUGCAUAGCAAGAUUACUCAACGGCUGAUUUCUCAGUAGCAAAACACUUUCUUAGAGGUAGAAAUAUUCUAGAAAGUCUUGUGGUGGCUGAGUGGCUCACAAAGUGGUACAUAGCAUCCAUCAAGCGAAAUAACCAUCGGUGAUCAUCAAACUUGAUUACAGAAAAGAGUAUGACUGUGUGAAUUGGACUUCCUUUUUGAAAUCCUACGUGUAGAGGUUUAAGCAAAAAAAAAAUAGAUUGGUCGAUUUAAAAUACAACACAUAUAGACCUAAUAAUUUUUUAAAAGAAUUUGCCCGGUCGCAAUAUUGGAAGGGGGUGACGUGGGCUCCUCUGGCAACAAAUUCUUGGUUUGAUGCCUACCCAGCGGAUUAGUCUUGUUUCCCGGCAGAUCGCAGUGUCAAGCCUAACCUUUUGUUUGUUUUCUCAACAAAUAUCACUCAUCGAACUCCUGAUCUUACGGGAUACAUUACCAAAGGGUAGAUAUAUAUUAACAGACAACUUCAUAAUACACACGAAAAUGCUACAUCUAUGUAAUUCACGGAUUUCUUCCUUCACGGCCGCGCGUCAGAGUGCGUGAUAGCUUCACGCGCUGGUGCCUUUCGGACAGGGCCAAGGGACCCACCACGUGUGUGUGUGCAACAUCACAAAAAUCACCCCCCCCCCCCGCCUUAUUUGAACUGCUGGGCUCGGGCAUGUCCUUAAAUCCUACGUGACCUGCCUAAUUAAUUCUCUCGGUCACCCCUGAUUUUCAUGGGUGUGGGCCCCUCCCACCCCCUUCAAUCUGACCCCAAGUCUCCGUGUUCUCUAUCACGUAAAAACCAUAUGUUUCUUCGCUAAAAAAACAUACAUUACUUUAAGUAGGUCUACCAUUACUCCAAUAGACAGGUGCACUUGCAUGUUCUUUUUGUGGUCGCUUUUCUUUCUCCUGUUAUAAGCAUAGUUUGUUCCUUCAAUAUAUGAUUUCUUUACUAGAUAUAUACUCCCUCUGUAAACAAAUGUAAAAGUGUUUAUAUCACUAUUAAUGAUCUAAACACUUUGAUACACCCACUGUAAAGAAAUAUAACGAUCUUCUUAUAUUUCUUUACAGAGGGAGUAUAAAUCAGGGCGUCAUGAAGGGAGUGCGUAGCCAAAAUAAUGUAAAUUAUAGUUAACAUAGAUCUAAGAAAAACUACAAUUAGUGUGAUUUGGUUUGUAGCUGCAUGGACUGUAAGUAUGUUUUUCUAAUAUAUUCUGUUGUGAUUUCAAGAAAAUACGGUGUCCACUGCUUUUCUAUCCUACGUGGAAAGUGAUAUUCUCUUUUCAUUUGAUAGUUAAGUGCUUGUUUUUCUUUUUAAUUUCCUAUCAACACCAAUAUUUUGAUUAUCUGACUAGGUAUAGAAUAGUUGCAUUACUUUUUCCCAUAAGUGAUCAUGUCUUCGCUUUCACAUCGCUAGAAAGUUUAAGCCUUCACAACAAAUUGCCUUAAAAGAAACAUAGUAGUACAAUACCCACCAGUGCCAAACAUUGAGAUAAGAUGCGCUGAAGAUUCGCUCACCGUUCGUCCUGUUUGGUGGUCUGCCGCCGUCUCUCCAGUCCUCUCCUCCUCAUAAUUUAACGCAAGUACUACUACUCUGCUCACGACCGUACUGAACUGAUUGGCUUGCUGCUAUAGCUGGCUAGCUCUGUUGGAAUAGACGUAUAGGAGACGUAUAGGGAUAGGGGUUUGUUUAAAUUCUGUACUUCAUCUCUAUCUCUUCUUCUCUCUCGAUCUCUUUGUAAUGACUGUCCUGGUCGAUCUCUCGAUCUCCUGUGUAACAUGUAUGCUAAGGCUAACGCCCAAUAUAUACAUACGGCCCAAGACAAAGGGUUCUACGCUUCCCACAAGGUUUUACAUGGUAACAGAGCCUCUUCCUCAUUAGAUCGAAAGAGAUUGCAUCUAGCUACCUCCGCGAGCGAUAUCAUGUCCACCACCGCCGCUGCCAUAACCCCAAGCACCAUGGGUGCACUCUCCACCACCUCAUCUUCCACCUUUGCCUCAUGGUCCACCUCCACCAACGCCACCUCCCUCGGAUCGCCACCACAAGAGAAGCUUAUGAGGGGCAACUUCCUGCUUUGGAAGGCCAUCGUGCUCCCGUAGAUCAGAGGCGCACAGAUGGAGCACCACCUCGAUGAGAAGAGCCCGCCACCGCCGGCCACUCUCACCAUCACCAAGGACGGCAAAGAAGAACAAGUCGUCAACUUUGCGAGAUCCCUUUGGUAUGCACAGCAGCAACAACUUCAAGGAUACUUGAUGGGUUCGUUUUCCCGUGAGAUUCUUGCCCAGGUCGCCACGCUCCAGACGCCGGCCGAGGUGUGGCGCACCAUCCACGCCAUGUUCGUUGCUCAAAGUCAAGCCCAAGCGAUCAACACUCGCAUCGAGCUUAUACCAACCUAAAAAAAGGUAACAUGUCCAUGGCUGACUACCUUGGUAAGAUCGAAAGUCUCACCGACGUGGUUGCAAGCUCUGCUGCGACACUCUCUGAUUCAGAGAUCGUCUCCAAAAUUCUCGCCGGCCUGGACAUGGAGUACAACCCGGUGGUCUCUGCGCUUGUCGCCAGGGUGGAGCCCAUCACCGUCCAGGAGCUCUAUAGCCAGCUACUCAGUUUUGAUGCCCGCCUCACCCUCCUCCAUGGCGCCGACCUUCGGCAAUCCUCCGUCAACUCUGCCUCCCGUGGCCGCGGCCGUGGGCACGGUCACUAGGGGCAACGUGGCGGUGGGCGUGGACGCGGCGCUCCUCAGGGCGAUGGUGCCCGCUCUAGUGGGGGGGGGGGGUCUGGCUCCAACGGCAGGGGCGGCUACAACACCAGCGGCAAUGGCGGCUUCAAUAACAACAACGGCCGCCGCCCUCCUUCCCGUGGUCGCCCUUGCUGCCAGCUUUGCCAAAAGCCUGGCCACGAGGUGAUUGACUGCUGGCAUCGGUUCGACGAGGACUUUGUACUCGACUCCCUCCAUGUUGCUGUUGCAAUACGUGAACAAGGCGGUGACAGCGUCUGGUACAUUGACUCUGGCGCUACGGACCACGUGACCAACGAGCUCGAGCAACUAGCCCUUCGUGAGCACUACCAUGGCAACGAUCAGAUUCACACCACCAGCGGUGGAGGUAUGGAAUUUUGUCACAUCGGUCAAGGCUCUAUUAAUUCCCCUACACUUAAACCGUGAUCUUGUUCUUAGAGAUGUGCUUCACGUUCCACAAGCUGACAAGAACCUUGCAUCCAUGUCUCAUUUAGCCACCGAUAAUAAUAUCUUCUUUGAAACUCACCCUCGUUAUUUUUUCAUCAAUGAUCGGGCAACGAGGGAACUUCUUCAUCACGGUAGAUGCGUUGGAGGGCUCUACCCCAUUCCAUCCGGAGCACUAGGUCGCAAGCAUCUUCAUGUUUACUCCGUCAUCAAGCCCUCUUUGGCAUGGUGGCAUCAACGAUUAGGGCAUCCAUCUUUGAACAUUGUCAAACAAAUAGUCAAUAAAGACAAUCUUUCUUUGUCUCAUAGUCGAAUUUGUGAGUCUGUCUGUGAAGCUUGUCAAUGUGCCAAGAGCCAUCAGCUUCCCUAUCCCAAGUCAACUAGUGUGUCACAUGCUCGGUUAGAAAUUAUUUUCAGUGAUGUAUGGGGCCAUGCCCGAGAUUCUUUUGGUAGGAAAAAAAUAUUAUGUCAGUUUUAUCGAUGAUUAUAGCAAGUUUACUUGGAUAUAUUUGCUUCGCUAUAAAUCUGAGGUUUUCUCUACUUUCCAAGAAUUUCAGAAACUUGUUGAGCGCCAAUUUGAUAGAAAAAUCCUUGUAGUCUAAAGUGACUGGGGAGGGGAGUAUGAGAAACUCAACUCUUUUUUCCGUAGCAUCGGGAUAGUUCAUCAUGUAUCUUGUCCUCAUGCUCAUCAACAGAAUGGCUCUGCUGAGCGCAAACAUCGCCACAUUGUUGAAGUUUGCCUUUCUCUCUUAGCUCAUUCUUCCAUGCCUCUCAAGUACUGGGAUGAAGCAUUUAUCACCGCCACUUACCUCAUCAAUAGGCUUCCUAGCAAAGUUAUUGGCAACACUACUCUGUUAGAGGGUCUCUAUCAUCAAAAACCUGAUUACAACUAUCUUAAAAUAUUUGGGUGUGCUUGUUAUCCAAAUUUGCAUCCAUACAAUCAUCAUAAACUUGAGUUUAGAUCCACUCAAUGUGUCUUUCUUGGCUAUAGUAAUCUUCAUAAAGGUUAUAAAUGCCUUGAAAUUUCUACUGGAUGCAUCUAUAUUUCUCGCUAUGUUGUUUUUGAUGAGACACUCUUUCCUUUUGCCAAACUACACCCCAAUGCGGGAGCCUUGCUUCGUGCAGAAAUUGCACUCCUUUUCGACUCUGCCACACUACCUGAUCACGGGGGUGAACUAAAUGAACUUGAUCAUGUACAAAAAUCCCAAGGAAAUUCUGAUUCUGUUGAUAUUUGUGCUAAUUCACGCUGUCAUUUUAUGUGUGAGGAAACAAACAAGGUGGGCACGGAACCUGCUGCUGAUCCGGCUAACAGUGCAUGAUCCCGGGCAGAUUCGCCCGCCCAGCCUGCUGUCUCUGGCAACGCGCGAUCCCACGAGGAUCCCCCCGUGUGCCCGGACUCACGUGGCCUGGUGGCCGACCGCACCGACCGGGUGGCGCCCACCGCGCCUGCAGCAUCGCCUCGCAUCGGUCCCGCCGCGCCUUCACCUACCACGUCUCCAUGCGUCGAGCCGCCUGCCAGCCCAUGUGCGGAGGGGGACGAAUCGCCUGUCGCCACGACUGCGCGGGCCUUCACAGCACUCGACCGUGGGUGCGGGCCUGACCCCACAGCGGCUGGUCGCGGGUGCGCGCCCGGUCCCUCGACUGAUUCGCUGCAUGGAUCCGCCUCGGUUCAGGAGCCGGCUGGGCUGUCACGUGCAUUGGAUCGGGAGCCGGCUGGAUCCUCUCUGGUAGCGAUUGCUCCUGUGCUCCCUACAUCUUCUCUUCGGCAAACAUGGUCUCGGUCAGGUAUUGUCAAGGAAAAACAGUAUAAUGAUGGUACGAUAAGGUAUGACAAAAUCAAACGUGCCUUUCUUACCACUACUGGUGAACCAAUUCACUUGCAUGACGCUCUUGCUAAUAAGGAUUGGAAGGAAGCUAUGGAUAAUGAAUAUAAUGCACUUAUGAAAAAUAAGACUUGGCACUUGGUUCCACCAAAGUAUGGAGACAAUGUUAUUGAUUGCAAAUGGGUGUAUAAUAUAAAAAGGAAGUCUGAUGGAAGCAUAGACAGAUAUAAGGCCAGAUUAGUUGCUAAAGGAUUUAAACAAAGGUUUGGAAUUGAUUAUGAAGAUACCUUUAGUCCUGUUGUUAAGUCAACUACUAUUCGUCUUGUCUUGUCUAUUGUUGUUUCUAGAUGGAGUCUAAGACAGCUAGAUGUUCAAAACGCGUUUCUUCAUGGUAUUCUUGAGGAAGAAGUGUUCAUGCGGCAACCACCAGGUUAUGAGAAUCCCAUCACACCACAACAUGUCUGUAAGUUGGAUAAAGCUUUGUAUGGUUUGAAGCAGGCCUCAAGAGCCUGGUAUUCCAGAUUGAGUAUGCAGUUGCAAUGCCUUGGGUUCAUACCAUCCAAGGCAGAUACCUCACUGUUCUUCUUUAAUAAAAGCAAUGUCACUAUCUUUGUGCUUGUUUAUGUUGAUGAUAUAAUUGUUGCUAGUUCCAGUUCAGAUGCCACUACUUGCUUGCUUAAGGAUCUCAAGUUGGAAUUUGCUCUCAAGGACUUGGGUGAUCUUCAUCAUUUUCUUGGUAUAGAGGUAAAGCAAGUUAAAGAUGGCAUACUUCUCUCAUAGGAAAAGUAUACAACAGAUAUUCUCAGGAGAGUAGGAUUGGAGAAUUGUAAGCCAGUCAAUACACCGAUUUCUACCUUAGAAAAACUUUCAGUGGAAAGUGGAGAAGUUCUUGGACUAGAGGAUGCAACAAAUUAUAGGAGUGUUGUAGGUGCUUUGCAAUAUUUAACACUCACUCGUCCUGAUAUAUCUUAUUCAGUAAACAAGGUAUGCCAGUAUUUACAUGCACCUAGAACUACUCAUUGGACUGCAGUCAAAAGAAUUCUAAGGUAUCUCAAGUUCUCAGAAGGUCUUGGACUUGAAAUUACCAAGUCUUCUUCUAUGCUUGUUACUGCAUACUCUGAUGCUGACUGGGCAGGAUGUGCUAAUGAUAGAAGGUCUACAGGUGAUUUUGCUGUGUUUUUGGGAACUAAUCUUGUGUCAUGGAGCGCAAGAAAACAGGCCACUGUUUCUAGGUCAAGCACAGAGGCUGGAUAUAAGGCAUUGGCUAAAGCUACAGCUGAAAUGAUGUGGAUAUAGACAUUACUCUAUGAGCUUGGAAUUAAGGCUCCACAGGCUGCAAGAUUAUGGUGUGACAAUAUUGGUGCAACUUAUCUCUCAGCAAAUCCUGUUUUUCAUGCACGGACAAAACACAUUGAAGUUGAUUUUCAUUUUGUCAGAGAGAGAGUAGCCCGAAAGCUUCUUGAGAUUGGUUUAUUCCCGCAGGAGAUCAACUCGCGGAUGGGUUUACGAAGCCUCUUACCGUGAGAAGGUUGAAUGAAUUUAAGUACAAUCUUAACCUUAGCAAAGCUCCUUGAGGUUCAGAUUGAGGGGGGGUGUUGGAAUAGACGUAUAGGAGAUGUAUAGGGAUAGGAGUUUGUUUAAAUUCUGUACUUCAUCUCUAUCUCUUCUUCUCUCCCGAUCUUUUUAUAACGACCGUCCUGGUCGAUCUCUCGAUCUCCUCUGUAACUUGUAUGCCAAGGCUAACGCCUAAUAUAUACAUGCGGCCCAAGACAAAAGGUUCUACGCUUCCCACAAGGUUUUACAAGCUCAUCACAAGCAAAUAAGCAGAUCUAGCUAGAAUAAUCUACUCAAGAUGUUUAGAGCAAUGGCGCACGAUGUUGGCGCAGCCCGAGGAGGAAGAAGCACACACAGGUCUGAAGGUAGAAGAAGAGCACACAGGGAGGUUUGCGGCACCGCACACACUUGUGCCUUUUUUCUGUUUCUUCUCGACGGAAAUGAACUGAGUACAUGGGUUUAAGUACCAGACCCACACAACACACACGCACACACUAACCCACUACGUUACAUGCAAACGCGACGGCCAAGCCAGCUGCUUGAUCCGAUUAUUCUUGCAUGUACAGGCUUGAGUCAGAUCCAAGUUUUCAACAGACUUGAGCUUGCCCACAACGGCACACUUAACGCAUGUCUCAACUGAAUGCGUCCGCUUCUAACUCCACGCUGAUCUGCCGCCGGACUCAGCCGCUCUUACUCCACGGAGCUAUACGCACAUGUUGCUAACAACCAUAUCCAUGCAAACUACACGACGUGCAUGCUACUGAUCAGCUGAUGCUAACUCAACUAACUAUCUAGGCAAUAUCAGCUUGCAUGCGUACUCGUCUCCACACUUUUACGAGCACGCUCACUGCCGCAGCCUCAAGCCUUCAACUUAACUACAUGCAUGAACGAACUAAUGCGACGAAAUAAAUAUUGAUGGAUACCUAGACAACAAGGUAAACUCUUUCAAUCACCCCCUUAACCUUGUUGUCGUUUAUUCGAACACCUCCAUGUCGAUCUUCAAAGCAGCCCCGGCUCGUCGUCAGCCGUCGCGGCAUCAAGAAGCGCCCGCUGCUUCCUUGGCUCGGUGCAGUCCUUGGAGUAAUGCCCGUACUCUUGACAGUUGUAGCAACGCACCUUGCAUAAGUCAAAGUUGCCCUUCUUCUUGCCGGCGCCGCUGCGGUGGUGAGCAAGCCACUCCUCCUCCGUGAGGAGCAGGCGACUCCCACCACUCUGGUCGUAGUUGCUGGCGCCCUCGUCCAAGUCGCUCCGGUCCUCCGCCGUUUUGAGCCUUCCCACAAGCUCUUCCAUGGACAUGGUUUUAAGAUCAAGAAGCUGUUCAAUGGCAAUGGCUAUCUGGGUAUACUUGGACGGCACGAUGCGGAGAAGCUUCUUCACGACCUUCACCUCGUCGAGGUUCUCGCCGAGCGUGCGCAGCUUGUUGGCGAUCCCGUUCAUGCGCAUGGCGAGCUCAUCGAGGGUCUCGCUGCUCCUCAUGCGGACGGCAUCAAACUCCUUGAGGAGAGUCUGCGCCUUGGCCUCACGGACGCGGGCAUCUCCGACCCGCAUGAUCUUGAUGGCAUCCCAUGCCUCCUUUGUCGUCGCCUUCACGGCAAGCGUGGAGUGCAUCUCCUCUGGCACGGCUCGCAGAAUUGCCGCAAACGCCGCCCCGUCCUGGCUGAAUGUCCCGCCUCCCUCGAUGGCGUCCCACACGCGUUGGGCCUCCAUGUUCACCUUCAUGAUCAGCGACCACUCGAAGUAGUUCGUCGCCGUCAGCGACAGGUAGACGACGGUGCUGCUGGCCUGGUGGACGACCUCCUGCUGCACCACCACCUCACGGCAGCCACGCCGCGUCAGGCUCCGGCCUCGGCACACCACCGGCGAGGCCGAGACACGGCGAGGCCGAGACACGGCGGCGACCCGGCGACGGAGUGCGCGAACCUUCAGUCACCAUGGCUCUGAAUACCAAAUGUUGGCGCAGCCCGGGGAGGAAGAAGCACACACAGGUCUGAAGGUAGAAGAAGAGCACACAGGGAGGUUUGCGGCACCGCACACACUUGUGCCUUUUUUCUGUUUCUUCUCGACGGAAAUGAACUGAGUACAUGGGUUUAAGUACCAGAUCCACACAACACACACGCACCCACUAACCCACUACGUUGCAUGCAAACGCGACGGCCAAGCCAGCUGCUUGAUCCGAUUAUUCUUGCAUGUACAGGCUUGAGUCAGAUCCAAGUUUUCAACAGACUUGAGCUUGUCCACAACAGCACACUUGACGCACGUCUCAACUGAAUGCGUCCGCUUCUAGCUCCACGCUGAUCUACCGCCGGACUCGGCCGCUCUGACUCCACGGAGCUGUACGCGCAUGUUGCUAACAACCAUAUCCAUGCAAACUACACGACGUGCAUGCUACUGAUCAGCCGAUGCUAACUCAACUAACUAUCUAGGCAAUAUCAGCUUGCAUGCGUACUCGUCUCCACACUUCUACGAGCUCACUGCCGCAGCCUCAAGCCUUCAACUUAACUACAUGCAUGAACGAACUAAUGCGACGAAAUAAACAUUAUGGAUACCUAGACAACAAGGUAAACUCUAUCACACGAGACACGACCUUCCUCUGAGGUACUAGCAUUUGCAAAUAAACUGCAUACUGAAUCUUUGCUUCUCUUGGAAGAACACCGGAGCUUUCGUGCCUCCCAAACUGAUGUGGUUGGGAAUGUAGGGGUAAGAUGGGCGCUGCCGCGGUGGCCAUCUCGUCGGGCGUCGGCCUCGCUCGCUUCUCCAGGGCCCCGAGUUCCCAGAGGUGCAUGCCAUGCCAUGGAAUCUUUGUUUCCUCUUCUUGGUUCUAGUUUGGGUUAUGUCGUGGCGUCGCCAAUGGCUAGCUAGAGGCCGCACUUAACUGUGUUUGCUGCGGGGAGAACGAUGCAGGCUGGCCGGGAAGGUGGCCGUCAUCACCGGCGCCGCCAGCGGCAUGGGCAAGGCGACCGCCGCGGAGUUCGUCAGGAACGGCGCCAAGGUCAUCCUCACCGACAUCCAGGACGACCUCGGCCGCGCAGUCGCCGCCGAGCUUGGCCCCGACGCCUCCUACGCGGCUACGCCCGCUGCGACGUGACCGACGAGGCGCAGAUCGCCGCGGCCGUCGACCUCGCGGUGGCGCGCCACGGCCGGCUCUAUGUCCUGCCUGCACAACCACGCCGGGAUCGCCGGGAGGAUGACCAUGGAUUCCGUGGCGUCCCUCGACCUCGCCGACUUCGACCGCACCAUGGCGGCCAACGCCCGGUCCGCCGUCGCCGGGAUCAAGCACGCGGCACGCGUGAUGGUGCCGCGCCGGAGCGGGUGCAUCAUCUGCACGGCGGGUGCUCGGCGGCGUGAACCCCGCGUACUGCAUCUCCAAGGCCGCCGUGAUCGGCGCCGUCCGGGCGUUGGCCGGGGAGCUGGGGAGGCAGGGCGUGCGCGUGAACGCCAUCUCGCCGCAUGGCAUCGCGACGCCGUUUGGGCUGCGUGGGCUGGCGGAGCUGCUCCCGGAGGCGAGCGAGGAGGAGCUGAGGCGGAUGGUGGAGUCGGGCAUGAACGAGAUGGGCGGGGCGGUUCUGGAGGUGGAGGACAUCGCGCGGGCGGCCGUGUACCUGGCGUCCGAGGAGGCCAGGUAUGUCAACGGGCACAACCUCGUCGUCGACGGCGGGUUUACUGUGGGGAAGCCCGAUCCGGUGAGGAGUGAGUGACAGGCAUGGCCGUAAGAUCUUGUGCGUUGUCCCGCCUGCGCCUAGUACACAAUGUGCUUUAUUUUUACUACUAUGGGAGUGUCUAAGGCUUAUCGAGAUUUGAUAUGGUUAUACUUCCUACGUUCUCAAAUAUUUGUCUUUCUAAGCGUUUCAAAUGGACACAACAUAUAAUGUACGUAUGUUGACAUAUUUUAAAGUGUAGAUUCAUUCAUUUUGUUUCGUAUGUAAUCACUUGUUAAAAUCUUUAAAAGACAAAUAUUUGGAAAUGGAGGGAGUAUGUCACAUGUAAGAAGAUGUCAUCGUACAUCGUUAGAUUGUGAUCAUGUCCUUCACAUCUAUCUAUCCACACCUUUAUGCGUUGUUUUCUGUUUGCACUGACAUCUUUUUUCUUUUGCGUUGACAUCUUGUAUUUUUUUAACACAGUACAACGUACAUACAGACAUGCAAACUUACCUUAUGAAUGCAUCCGCAUACACUCUAUCCUUUUGAGCAUAUUCGAGAUACUGAGCUGGCGUUGUUGUUGCUGUUGCUGUUUUUUCCUUUUUAGGGGUUGUUUUUUUUGUUGAUUUUAGGGGUUGUUGUUUAAUUGUCUCACAAUUGAUUGGGCUGGGUCAGCCUGCUUUGUUAUUUUGAUUGUUUCUAAGAAAAAUCACACGCUUUUUUAUGUGUGUUCUGGGCCAGUUUGCGGCUGGUUUUGCCCUCCUCUAAGUCCAGAAGGUGUUCUCGAUGAUGAGUCAUGCGGGAAGCGCUGGUGCCACUCUGCCAUGGCGUACUCGGCUGCCUCGACGAUGAGGAGGCAACGCUCCCGCCUACGGUGUUCGCGGAGGCCCUCAUCGGUUAUUGGCCGCGGCGGAGGCGCGAGGUCCUGCGCCUGUUGGCACGUCCGCAAGUCGUCGAAGUUCAUCUACGAACGUGGCCUCCAAAGGCGCCACGCCGUCGCGUCGUACGCGCGAGCGGCCUCAUGGGCGGUCUCGAACAUCCCGAGACCGAGACGCACGCCACCAAGCGGAUCUCGGCGUAAAGCAUGCUGGAGGGGAGGGCACGGACGCCGCGGUAGCCGGAGAUGCUCCGGGCGCGCGGCGGCAUGUCGACUGUGGGGGAAAAGGCGCGGCGGCGUCAAGAGAAGGACGCGGCGGCAGUGGCGGGGCGCUGGAUGCGAGGAAGAAGGGGGUGGCAGGCAGUGGCGGAGCCGGGGGGCGAGCAGGGGCCUGGAUCGAUAGUUUCGUAAGAGGCUACGAGUUGCCCCCCCUUAACGCAAAAGGAAUAUAGGUACUUGGCCCAUAAAAAAGCCCAUCAGUGGCCAGAGACUCUAGUGCUUGGCCCCUGGCCUUACCCUAAAUCAAGCCAACCCCAGCGUAAUUAACUUCUGACCUGUGGCGAUUACCGUUGCCGGCGGCCGCUGCCCUCGUGCCCUCACUACUGUGCUUUUUUUUUUUUACCAAUCCCGGUUCAGGGGGAAUGACAUGCUUUGAAAUUACAAGAUAUUCUACACUGAUAGUAAUGUUCCAAUACAAAUGUAACUAUAUUUUAAUCAAUUUAGCUAAUACGCAUCUAGAUGUGCCUAAGUCUUGUACAUCCAGGUCCAUUGAUAUUGAUUAUUUCUUAUGCAAAGAUUUGUGUUUUUUUGUCUUUGUAUGUUUGAUCGAAUCACUUACAUGUGCAAUAACUAAGACAUAUAUAGAUAUGCCCUAGAUAGACCCUAUUUUAAUUGUAUUGAAGCGACACAUUAUUACAAUAUUAUGGUACUUAUUUUUUCACGGUGCACACUUUUUUUAAUCAACUUGGCUUGGCCCCCUCUAUACUCAAAUUCUGGCUCCGCCCCUGGUGGCAGGGACGAAGAAAGACGCUGGAGUGGCGGUUGGCGGGCUCGGGCGUGUGCGUUUUAUAGAGCGCACGCGGCCGCUUUUUCACGCGCGCGAUUUUUUCCCGGCGCACCGGAGUCUACCGCGCUUGCUGGAGCGCGUGAAACCGCUCCUCGCGCGAUAUAUAUCGCCGCUGUUGGAGAUGCUCUAAGGCUUUAUUUCCCAGGUUUUUUCCUACUCAACAACCAAAUGUGAGCCCAAAGUGUUGGUGGAUUUUACUUGCCGGUAUUAUCAGCACUGCAUUCGGUUGAUGCUGCCGCAUCUUUACUGUUACUGUACGUCUAAGAACGAGUUGGAAAUAUGCACCUAGUUUGACCAUGGUCUUUAUGUCAAACAACGGCCGGCUCGUCGCCAAAAUCUAAAUGAUGGUCAUCUCCUUCUACUACUACUCCCUCCGUCAAAAAAUACUUGUCCGCAGAAUGGAUGUAUCUAGAUGUAUUUCAAUUCUAGAUACAUCCUUUAUAUUCAUUUUUACGACAAGUUUUUUCGGACGAAGGGAGUAGUAUAUAACAUCUGGAUUUGCACGGCACUAAAGCCACCUAUAUAAGGAUCAACAUUUGUCAUCGUAGAAACGACAUGGUUGCAUGGCAAACUCCUGAGACGCACCAGUCUAAAACACUGAAACGAGGAGCAUUCAUAUCCGUUACAGGAACAAAGCAAAAAAUGUACUUGAGCGGUUGAGCCUAGACCUACUACUGGUUUGAAAAAUUUAAAGUCUCAAAUCAUCAUACGGGGAAGAAGAUUCCAAUGAUUGAUGGCCAUAACCAUCAGCCAUGCAUGUUACAAAAAAAAGAGGGCGUCGAGAAUUUCAGCGCAGCUUUGAGAGCACGAUCAGAGCUUCGUGGAGACCAUGGUACAGGAUUUCUUAUCUGAAAGCAAAUGAGGCUGCUGGAUGUUACAUCCCCCAAAACUCCAGUUCACGCCUGGCGAAUUCUUUCAUCUGCUUCUGGCUACGGAG
This 39385-nucleotide long non-coding RNA is filed under the name Triticum aestivum (bread wheat). Its description in RNAcentral is "long non-coding RNA (TAES_LNC021969)". The stretch from base 38810 to 38933 matches the Rfam family "MIR1120/MIR1122 microRNA precursor family". Lineage: Eukaryota; Viridiplantae; Streptophyta; Magnoliopsida; Poales; Poaceae. The record is from RNAcentral.